AGUGAACGCUGGCGGUAGGCCUAACACAUGCAAGUCGAACGGCAGCACAGGAGAGCUUGCUCUCUGGGUGGCGAGUGGCGGACGGGUGAGGAAUACAUCGGAAUCUACUCUGUCGUGGGGGAUAACGUAGGGAAACUUACGCUAAUACCGCAUACGACCUACGGGUGAAAGCAGGGGACCUUCGGGCCUUGCGCGAUUGAAUGAGCCGAUGUCGGAUUAGCUAGUUGGCGGGGUAAAGGCCCACCAAGGCGACGAUCCGUAGCUGGUCUGAGAGGAUGAGCAGCCACACUGGAACUGCGACACGGUCCAGACUCCUACGGGAGGCAGCAGUGGGGAAUAUUGGACAAUGGGCGCAAGCCUGAUCCAGCCAUGCCGCGUGGGUGAAGAAGGCCUUCGGGUUGUAAAGCCCUUUUGUUGGGAAAGAAAUCCAGCUGGCUAAUACCCGGUUGGGAUGACGGUACCCAAAGAAUAAGCACCGGCUAACUUCGUGCCAGCAGCCGCCGUAA
This 506-nucleotide ribosomal RNA is filed under the name uncultured bacterium. Its description in RNAcentral is "partial 16S ribosomal RNA". It matches the Rfam family "Bacterial small subunit ribosomal RNA", at positions 29 to 523 of the family's 1533-position model. The record is from RNAcentral.